AUUGAACGCUGGCGGCAUGGCUAAAACAUGCAAGUCGAACGAGCCCGCAAGGGCAAGUGGCGAAAGGGUUAGUAAUACGAUCGAAUGUACCCUGAGGUGGCGGAUAGUCGUGGGAAACUGCGGGUAAUACGUCAUGAUCUCUCCGGAGCAAAGAUUUAUCGCCUUGGGAGCAGCGAUCGUCCUAUCAGGUAGUUGGCGGGGUAAUGGCCCACCAAGCCGAAGACGGGUAGCGGGUGUGAGAGCACGGCCCGCAACAUCGGAACUGAGACACUGUCCGGACUCCUACGGGAGGCUGCAGUAACGAAUCUUCCGCAAUGGGCGAAAGCCUGACGGAGCAAUGCCGCGUGUGGGAUGAAGCGCCUUCGGCGUGUAAACCACUGUCAGGGAACGGAACCAAUGAUUGUUCCCAAAGGAAGUGGCGACUAACUCUGUGCCAGCAGCCGCGGUAAGGUGACGCUCU
RNAcentral lists this ribosomal RNA (460 nucleotides) under uncultured bacterium. RNAcentral describes it as "bacterial SSU rRNA". It matches the Rfam family "Bacterial small subunit ribosomal RNA", at positions 30 to 535 of the family's 1533-position model. The record is from RNAcentral.